This 532-nucleotide ribosomal RNA is filed under the name Citrobacter koseri ATCC BAA-895. RNAcentral's name for it is "SSU rRNA". It matches the Rfam family "Bacterial small subunit ribosomal RNA", at positions 26 to 547 of the family's 1533-position model. The record is from RNAcentral. Lineage: Bacteria; Pseudomonadati; Pseudomonadota; Gammaproteobacteria; Enterobacterales; Enterobacteriaceae.
AGAUUGAACGCUGGCGGCAGGCCUAACACAUGCAAGUCGAACGGUAACAGGAAGCAGCUUGCUGCUUUGCUGACGAGUGGCGGACGGGUGAGUAAUGUCUGGGAAACUGCCUGAUGGAGGGGGAUAACUACUGGAAACGGUAGCUAAUACCGCAUAACGUCGCAAGACCAAAGAGGGGGACCUUCGGGCCUCUUGCCAUCAGAUGUGCCCAGAUGGGAUUAGCUUGUUGGUGGGGUAACGGCUCACCAAGGCGACGAUCCCUAGCUGGUCUGAGAGGAUGACCAGCCACACUGGAACUGAGACACGGUCCAGACUCCUACGGGAGGCAGCAGUGGGGAAUAUUGCACAAUGGGCGCAAGCCUGAUGCAGCCAUGCCGCGUGUAUGAAGAAGGCCUUCGGGUUGUAAAGUACUUUCAGCGGGGAGGAAGGUGUUGUGGUUAAUAACCACAGCAAUUGACGUUACCCGCAGAAGAAGCACCGGCUAACUCCGUGCCAGCAGCCGCGGUAAUACGGAGGGUGCAAGCGUUAAUCG